Molecule: ribosomal RNA, 460 nt
Filed under: uncultured bacterium
Lineage: Bacteria
Description: partial 16S ribosomal RNA
Rfam family: Bacterial small subunit ribosomal RNA
Source: RNAcentral
CCUACGGGAGGCUGCAGUGAGGAAUAUUGGUCAAUGGACGAGAGUCUGAACCAGCCAAGUAGCGUGAAGGAUGACUGCCCUAUGGGUUGUAAACUUCUUUUAUAAAGGAAUACAAUGAUGCACGUGUGCCUUUUUGUAUGUACUUUAUGAAUAAGGAUCGGCUAACUCCGUGCCAGCAGCCGCGGUAAUACGGAGGAUCCGAGCGUUAGCCGGGUUUAUUGGGUUUAAAGGGAACGUAGAUGGGUUGUUAAGUCAGUUGUGAAAGUUUGCGGCUCAACCGUAAAAGUGCAAUUGAUACUGGCAGUCUUGAGUACAGUUGAGGUAGGCGGAAUUCGUGGUGUAGCGGUGAAAUGCUUAGAUAUCACGAAGAACCCCGAUUGCGAAGGCAGCUUACUAAACUGUGACUGACAUUGAGGCUCGAAAGUGUGGGUAUCAAACAGGAUUAGAUACCCUAGUAGUC